UACGUAGGGUGCGAGCGUUGUCCGGAAUUACUGGGCGUAAAGAGCUCGUAGGUGGUUUGUCGCGUUGUCCGUGAAAACUCACAGCUUAACUGUGGGCGUGCGGGCGAUACGGGCAGACUGGAGUACUGCAGGGGAGACUGGAAUUCCUGGUGUAGCGGUGGAAUGCGCAGUUAUCAGGAGGAACACCGGUGGCGAAGGCGGGUCUCUGGGCAGUAACUGACGCUGAGGAGCGAAAGCGUGGGGAGCGAACAGG
Molecule: ribosomal RNA, 253 nt
Filed under: uncultured bacterium
Lineage: Bacteria
Description: partial 16S ribosomal RNA
Rfam family: Bacterial small subunit ribosomal RNA
Source: RNAcentral